RNAcentral lists this ribosomal RNA (461 nucleotides) under uncultured bacterium. Its description in RNAcentral is "partial 16S ribosomal RNA". It matches the Rfam family "Bacterial small subunit ribosomal RNA", at positions 338 to 795 of the family's 1533-position model. The record is from RNAcentral.
CCUACGGGUGGCAGCAGUGAGGAAUAUUGGUCAAUGGGCGCAAGCCUGAACCAGCCAAGUCGCGUGAGGGAUGACGGUCCUAUGGCUUGUAAACCUCUUUUGUCGGGGAGCAAGGCCCGCCACGUGUGGCGGGAAGGAGAGUACCCGAAGAAAAAGCAUCGGCUAACUCAGUGCCAGCAGCCGCGGUAAUACGGAGGGUGCAAGCGUUGUCCGGAAUCAUUGGGCGUAAAGAGUGCGUAGGCGGCAUGUAAAGUCAGGUGGUAAAGGCGCAGGCUCAACCUGUGUAUGGCACGUGAUACUUGCAAGCUGGAGUGCGGGAGAGGUAAAGGGAAUUCCUGGUGUAGCGGUGAAAUGCUUAGAUAUCAGGAGGAACAUCGGUGGCGUAAGCGCUUUACUGGGCCGUAAUUGACGCUGAGGAACGAAAGCCAGGGUAGCAAAUGGGAUUAGAUACCCGAGUAGUC